ACUGAAUGUUCUCUUGCUCAUCUGUUUACUCACACCACCUCCCAGACCAUCUCAUCGAUCCUUCUUGCUCCUACAGGCCUUGUGGCUGAAGUCCCCUGGAAAUACCUGUGGAGCGAUUGGGUUGUGAAAGAAGAUGGGUUGCUGUUUCCAUUUAACCAAAAAAACACAUACACUAGUUGGAUGGCCAUUCAAGUGGCAAAGAAGACCAGUGGGAGGCCAGAAGGAGCCUUCCUUAAUCUAAAGGGUUUAAAAAUGCUGGGAACUUGUGGCUGCUUUCACUUCAGUAAUGGGGCAGUGGAGCUGACAGGUUUUAUGCCGUCUGCUCUGCAAGCUGUGGAUUGUGAAUUUGAACACAAGGAUUUUCCGAUGUGAUGUCUGAAAGUUCAGCCUCAAUAGACAAGAAAAUACUUUCACUUUUAAUCCAGAUACAGCACAAGAUUUUUACUGUCUUGUGCCAAAGAACUCCUCCCCUGUUCUUCAGC
This is a long non-coding RNA of Neopsephotus bourkii (Bourke's parrot), 482 nucleotides long. RefSeq lists it as uncharacterized. The transcript has 3 exons. Lineage: Eukaryota; Metazoa; Chordata; Aves; Psittaciformes; Psittacidae. The record is from RefSeq and is a predicted model, not a curated record.